RNAcentral lists this long non-coding RNA (783 nucleotides) under Panax ginseng (ginseng). RNAcentral's name for it is "long non-coding RNA (PGIN_LNC012022)". The record is from RNAcentral. Lineage: Eukaryota; Viridiplantae; Streptophyta; Magnoliopsida; Apiales; Araliaceae.
UAGAGGAGCAUUAACUAGUAGUACAAUUUAAUAAAUCUGCCGUGCUGGAGUUGUCUGAUGCAUCUCUUUCACAAAACAUGAACCACAUUGGCCGCAAGGGCACUGGGAUUUGUUUGGUAUGCCUCAAACCCAAAACUGCAACAUUAAUCCUUUGAUUUCUGUGCCAAAAAAUAAAAGAAAAAAGAAGAGAGAGAAUCUUAAAUUCUUCUUCAGUGGAGUAUUUUAUUUUAUCUGUUGCAGUACUAUAUACUGGGAAGGGAAUGUCAAGGUGUUGCUCUAUCAAACAAAGCUGUAGCUAAAGUUUGGGUUCUUCUUUAUUUAAGCAACUUCUUUAAUUGUACUUGUCUCUUCCCCUUGAAAGGCUUCUUUUUCCUUCCUUUUUCUUCAAAGACAACUACUUUGUGAUCUUCAUAGCUCACACGGUGCAUGAGACUCUCUCAGGUCAGAAAAUUCACUCUCAUUUUUGCUUUUCCUUUUUCGUGCUUCUGCAUAUACGUACUGAUAAGGAAGAAUUUAGGAUAAUAUAUAUGAGUUUCUUUGUUGAAAUUAACUCCUUAAUUCUCUCUAGUCUAGCCAAUGAAAUAUAUAUAGGAACAAUAAUUAAUGAGCAAACAUCUAGUUAUAUAUAGUCUCUCAUGUUUUUAUUAUCCACAGGUUUUUAUUUGCUUUUCUUCCAUAAUACUACAAAUUAAACAAUACUCUAUAUAACCAAUAUGAUUUCUUGAAUGGAUUCUCAAACAAGAGUACUGUGUUAAAUGUUUUAUUGAUCAUAUAAAUCCCCCC